AUCGCUUCUCGGCCUUUUGGCUAAGAUCAAGUGUAGUAUCUGUUCUUAUCAGUUUAAUAUCUGAUACGUCCCUCGAUGAGAGGACUUUAUAUUAAACGGAUUUUGGGGUUCGGAGUUGGACACGGGAGUUGACCUCCAUCCGAUACGCGCAGCAUCGUACCGGUAUGGCAGUGCUAUCGGACGGUUGCCACAGCC
Molecule: small nuclear RNA, 195 nt
Organism: Aquila chrysaetos chrysaetos
Lineage: Eukaryota; Metazoa; Chordata; Aves; Accipitriformes; Accipitridae
Gene: U2
Rfam family: U2 spliceosomal RNA
About the family: U2 is a small nuclear RNA (snRNA) component of the spliceosome (involved in pre-mRNA splicing). Complementary binding between U2 snRNA (in an area lying towards the 5' end but 3' to hairpin I) and the branchpoint sequence (BPS) of the intron results the bulging out of an unpaired adenosine, on the BPS, which initiates a nucleophilic attack at the intronic 5' splice site, thus starting the first of two transesterification reactions that mediate splicing.
Source: Ensembl